GCCACUGACUGUGGGAUCGUCGUUUGAGUUGAACUGCGUAGGUUAUUUUAGUGGACGUAUAAUACAAAUCUAUCAAUACUUUCUUCAAUUUGUGAGCCAUUUCAUGCAAAUAAUUUUUUUUAUAAUUAUGAUAUUGCAUUUGCUGAUUUAUUAAUUUUUUGGUAUAAAUUCUGAGUAAGCAGGAUCGUUUAUACAGUAAGUUAGUGUAAAUCCCGCAUUAAGCUGACAGUGAAUCGAGUUGUUGGUCUCGGGUCCAACGCCGAAGUAAAUUAAUGGAACAUCACAAUUUGAGGGAGAAUGAAGCAAAUUAAAGGCGUUUUAAAAUUCCAUUGGCGUUUGUAACCAAUACUUGGGCACAUCGCAUGCAUAUACACAAGUGAUGAUACAUUGUUCAUCACUGAUGAAGAUUAGAUACAUUUCAAUUGCUAUUUACUUAAAUAUAUCUGUAAAAUGGCUGUGUGUGAACACGAUGGGCAACACCAAAAAGAGACACAACACCUUAGCGAGCAGUGAAGUGACAAAUCGAAGGCGCCUUAUGUAUUUUUCAGCCGCGCGCUGUAGGCCUCUUCUUUUCUAGUAUAAAUAAACAUAUGUUGGCAGCGCUGGGACAGAGCAUUUGUUUGGAAAAUAGUGAGUUAUAUCUGUUGCUAGCGCGAGUCUUGCCCGAUAACUUGGUUGUUGCUUUCAUAUGGACAUUUUUCGUCAAGUGAGCUGAGCUGAGAGAAAGCGAGCAGGGGUGUGGCGAAUGGAAGAGGACUUGCAUUAUCAUAAUAUUUUUACGUACCUACAUAAGUAUAUAAAGCGAAACCAAUUUUUGUAUGAAUGUAGGCAUAUUUGCUAAUUAUUUUAAAAUAAAAAUUCAAUAAGA
Anastrepha ludens (Mexican fruit fly) is the source of this 868-nucleotide long non-coding RNA. RefSeq lists it as uncharacterized. The transcript is spliced from 3 exons. Lineage: Eukaryota; Metazoa; Arthropoda; Insecta; Diptera; Tephritidae. The record is from RefSeq and is a predicted model, not a curated record.